CCUGGUUGUUAUAGAGAGAGGGCCACACCUGUUCCCAUUCCGAACACAGAAGUUAAGUCUCUCAUCGCCGAUGGUACUGCACGGGUCACUGUGUGGGAGAGUAGGACGCUGCCGGGA
RNAcentral lists this ribosomal RNA (117 nucleotides) under Spirochaetae bacterium HGW-Spirochaetae-1. The record is from RNAcentral. Lineage: Bacteria; Pseudomonadati; Spirochaetota.